This is a long non-coding RNA of Heterocephalus glaber (naked mole-rat), 1222 nucleotides long. RefSeq lists it as uncharacterized. The record is from RefSeq and is a predicted model, not a curated record. NCBI's taxonomy places the organism in Eukaryota, Metazoa, Chordata, Mammalia, Rodentia, Bathyergidae.
GCCGGGGAGGGUGGGGUAAUUUACCCAGGGGUGGGGGCAAUUUACCCGCCACAUCACAAACUACAGUCCUUUCAGCCCACCAGACCGAGAAGCAUUACAUCACACUCUCACAAUGAUAGGGGGAGGUGGCUCUGAGAAAGCAAGUUUUCGCCUUUCUUUCCUCCCUGCUCUCAGGCUUCUAGAAUCCUGCAUUGGGAGUAAUGGAAUUUAACUUCGAGCACUGCACAGUUUCGGGGGUUACUAACAAUCACACAGCUACUUAUUUAUAUGAUCCGGCACGACCACUUCACAGAGAAUACGCGGCAAAACAAGCAAACACACGCAAGACACCAAAUUUGCGUUGAGGAGUCCAGAUAUUCAUCUACAUAAAAUUAAACAAAAAUUUUCUUUCGUGAGAAAUGGAGGCCAAUCUACAGAGAGAACUGAUAAAUAAUUCCUAAUCGGAGUGAACAGCUGUUUACAUCUUUAAAAUAUCAUGUUUACAAGACAGUCCUAUCAUUCGGUUGAAACCACGAUCAAAAUAAAAGCGCAUCUGGCUGCACAUUUGAGAACACACACAGAGACCCGGGCAAGCGAGCGCGCCCAGAAAGAAGAACGGAAGCAGCUUUUUGUGACCUUCAAAUAGAGGCGGAUCAUGUGACUUCGGGUCUUUACAUGGUCCCUUUUCUUUGGAUUUCUACUCCCAGAAGAACAGGAAAGGAGCUGUUUCAGGGCAGGCAGAGACCAGUGCUCACACAAUCUGGCAGCCUGGACACGUGUGGUACAAAAUGCUUCCACUGUCUUUGCAAAGCACUGAGUGGAAGAGCCAGACUCUGGCCUGACAGUUGAGAUGCAGGCAAAAGCAGGAAACUUCUAGGAUGGAACUUCUGAACAUUUACUCUAUUUUUAAUCCUUCCAAUACCUUCCAGAUGAGUUAUGGAAGGCUUACUUACAUGGAGCAUGCUCAAUAUGUUAAAAUGCAUGGAGAAUGACUCUACAGCCACCUUGUUUUAAUUUGUGAUGGACACGAUUUCUUUUUGAAACUAAAUUUUGCUAGGUCUCCAUUCCUCAAGGUAGAAUGUUACUGUACAAAUGUUUACAUGGUUUGCCUUGUAUGUGUUAAAUAGAAAGCUGUACAAAAAGUUGGGAAACAGAACAAACACAUUUUAAAAGAAAAUACUGGUCCUGUUUUCAAAUAAUAUGCUCAACAUAGUUUUCUUCAACCUCCAGGCCCGAUUUUUCA